ACGCUCCGCCCUAAUGCGAAGAGGUCUGGGAAGUCGGUCUUCCAAGAGCAACAGAUUUCGUUAUAGCCCCCUUGCGGCUUGUGUCUGCUACCCUCCACCUUUCUGAUCCUGCUAUAAGGUUAUGCACUUGCUUCCGGAUCUUGAGGGGGACGAAGGCAGGGCAACAACAGGGAAGGAAAAAGGGGAUGACUGAGGGAUCUUUGUCUGAGGUACAGGCUCUAACCCUGCAGGACUCUUGUGGCCUGUAGCCUGCUCUUAACCCGUUCAUUUGUUUUUCUGUUCUUUCCUCGUACUCUCUUUACUCAGUAUCUCUCUGGACUUAAUGAAAGGAAGUAAUAAGAUGAAGUAUGCAUACGGGUGCUGGGUCAUCAUGUAUGAUGACCGAGAUAAUGAUACUAGAAAGCUUUCUGUAGGCACAUUUCGUCUUUGGUUCUGUCAGCACUUCGGUUCUGUGGGGCAAUGGCCAGAAGAGCUUCUUCGGGGCUUAACAAAACCUAUCUCCCCUUUCACUGGGCUCUGAAUAAGGAAGUUGUCUUUGGAAUAGGGGGAGGAGACUGCCACCUGUUGAGGCAACCCCAUAAUAGUCAUGAGGUGAGGGUAAGGUAUCAGCUUUACUGGCAUUAACCAUUAUCUACAAGACCAAGUUCCAGAAUAGGAAAGCUAUCCUGCUUCCUUUAAAUGCCCUAUCCAAGCGGUUCUUUAGUACUCUACAGCAUGGUUGUUAGAGUAUGGGCUCUAAAAUCAGACUGCCUGGGCUGGCAUCUUGGUCCCUCUACCUAUUGGCAAGUUACUUAGAAUGCCUGAGACAAGUAAUAAACAAUAUACAUUAUUGUUGUUAUUUUUUCUUUAAUUUGCUUAGGUUCAGCUGUAGUGUAGUUUCUCAGGACAUAGCAUCAAUAUAUCCAAAAGAAUUGUGAAACAUAAAGCACAUGUAGUGAUUCUAAUACAGAUGUCUUAUUUUUCAGAUGAGAAAACUAAGGCCAGAAAGAUAAACUGAUAGGUCCAUGCUAGAAGAGAAGUGCAGCUAUCCUGCUGUCCAGGUUAUUGCUCUUUCCCUGGCUCAUGGGUCCAGACUUCUCUCCCUUACAUCCUUACCUCCAUCCUCUACUCCUCCCCAACUUGUAUACAGUUGUUGCUCAGCCUCCUCCCCCUCCACCUUUCCACAAUAUCUUUCACCCAUUGUAAAAUAUGGAAGGGAGACCCUUUCAGAGGUCAGUGUUCCAAAUAGAAACCAAAACUCACAACUCCUUUUCUCAUUUUAAUUUUAUUAAAAGUUAUAAUGAAUAAAGAAUAACACUUUUUUCCAUUGAGCAAAGAUUAGAACCCUUUCCUAAGAUAAGGUCAGCCACAGCCUUAUCCAGGAAAAUUACUUGCUGGAAACAAUACUGGACCAAAUCAGCCCUGCUCCCACCCUGCCUUUCUUUGAAAAUAGCUUUUUUUUUUUUCUUUUUUUAAAGAGAUAUGAUCUUUCUGUGUCGCCCAGGCUGGAGUGCAGUGGCUAUUCACAGAUGUGAUCAUGCACACAACAGCCUCGAGCAACUGGGCUGAGGGCUGAAGCAAUCUUCCUACAUUAGCCUCCCCAGUAGUUGGGAUUACAGGCAUAGGCUGUGGCACCCAGCUAAUAACUAUUGUUUUAUAAAAACACUACGUGCUUGUGCAAACAAAUUGAAAAAUUUUAAACAAAAAUGCAAAGAAGUUAAAAUCUGUCCAAAUCCCAUAAUAUAGAGAUAACCAUUUCUUAAAUUUUGUGUUACAUUCUUCUAGGCAUCUCUCUAAGAAUAGAAGCACAUAUAGACAUAUAAAUACAAUAUUUCAUAAAUUGGAUUUUAUUAUCUGCACAGUGAACAACAGUCAUGAAAAACAUUAUUUUUAAAAGUUGCAUAGUGUCUGUUAGAUGGAUAUACCAUCAUUUAUCCAACCAGUAUUCUAUUGAUUGACAUUUAUGUUUCCAAGUUUUUACUAUCAUAAAAAAGUCUCUUAUGAACAUUCUUAUCCACAGGCUGUUGCACAAUUGUGCAAUUAUCUCCUUGGACACAUUCCUAGAAGUAACACUAAUGUCAGCCAAUUCUUUAACAUUUUCAAUUAGAGAAUAAAAGUUGUGGUUACUUUGAAAAAUAUACUUUAUAUGUGGGACUCAAAACUGACCAGAUUCUCCCAUUUGAAACAUAUUUGAAACACAGGUAAACCUGAGUAUUGUUGUUUUUCUUGUGUCUAGUGUUUAAUAAUGCAUGUUAAAGCUCCUUAGAGUAGGUCGGUAGACAUUACUGGUUGUCUAAACCAAUAUCCUUUCUUCUUUACUAGUAGAACUCUGAUUUCUUCAGGGUGACAGCAUGUCCAGUUAAAAAUAUUCAUGUUCCUAGACUUUCUUAAGUCAUGGCUGGCCAUGUGACUAUCAAUUAAAUAAAAGUGAAUUUCUGUAGAGGAGGCUCAAUAAAUAUUGCUUUAGCCAUUUGAUCUGUACCCACCCCUUUUAUUUUUUUGAACCUGAAACAGGGACAUGAUACUGGAUGUAGAGCAGACAUAUUUCACCCAUAAUAACAAAAGCCACACUGACACUAUUAAUAAUGUAGGACACCGGAGGUGCCUAGGUCCGUGGUUGCUUUGGAGGGCCAAACUGACCAGCUCUGGACUGUCCCACUUCUGGAUUUGUUGUUAGGAUUACUUGUUGGGGCCAGGUAGCUGUCAUGUCAGAGUCAUAAGGUCACUCAGGUAACUUAUAAAAAGGCUCACAUGGUGAGUAAUUAAGGCUUCCAGCUAACAAUCGGUGAGGUAUUGAGGCCUUCUGACAAUAGCCAUGUGAAUGAGCUUGGAAGCAGAUCCUCCAAUCCCAGUCAGGCCUUCAUAUGAUUGCAUGCAUCCUGGUCAACAUCUUGACUGUAACCUAGAAGGAGACCUUGAGACAUAAUCAUUCAGCUACGGUCCUGAAUUCCUAAGCCACAGAAAUGAGAAAUGAAGUGUGAAUCUUACUGAGAGCUAAACUUCGCCAGUUGUGGAAGUAACACGGUGAACAGAAUGGAAUCCUUGAAACUUGAAUUCUGCCCCCAGUUGUUUUUCCUCAAUCAAAAAUGUUUUAAAAAUUAAUGAGUUAACACAAAAUUAAACCAUGUCUCGAAACCAGCCAGCCAUCUUGUCUGCCAUCUCCAAGCAAAUUACAGAUUGACUUAUAAUACAAAUUUGCCCACAGGGCUUGCAAUACUAUUUCACAAGGUAGGCUGUAUUAUUUCUCUUCACAAAUGACCAGUCUGAUGCAUAGCACGUUUAGCUACAGAUGCCUCUGAUGACUUUCCCUGCAGCAUUUUCAUGGCUCACCAAUAGGUCUGUCUGCAUUUCUCAGGUCUACCAAGGGGGCGGUUCAAUUCUCCUUUGAUGUAAUCGAUCCAAAGAUCAGAAUCUACAGAUCUAAAUUCUCUCAAAGCCCUCUUUUGCAGGAUUCUUGCAUUCUUCCUUUUCAAACUGAAUCAUUUCCUGAAAAAGUCAACUGAAAAUGGAUGGCUCUCCUGUAAACUUUUAAACACACCUCUAGCCUUUUUGUAGCCACCACUUUGGUAAGCCCAGUCAAGGUACUUAUCCUUCAGUGCCCCCAGUUUUAUCACUGAUUAGCUGGAUGACCUGUAAUAAGUCACCUACCCCUUCUGAAUCUCAAUUUCCCUAUCCACUAACUGGGGAAAAUAAUACCAAUGUACUCCAAAAGGCAGUCAAUGAGAUUAUGUAUAAAUAUGCUUUAUAUAUACAGUAUUAGCAUUCUUUUAAUUAAAUUAGGCUGAUGAGGUCUACCUUAUGUUUAAGCAGUUAAGCAUUAAGUAUUUUACGUGAAUACCAUGGAGAUCUUUCUUUCAGGAAGUGACAACUUAUUUACUGAUUUUACUGUGUACUGUAUAAAAUAGUAGCAUCAUUCAUAACAAGCAGUUUGGAUUUAAGAGUAUGGCGGAAUGGUAGCUUAUAUGUCAGAUCUCAUUUUAUUAGCCUGUUGAAAAUUUAUUACUCUUUUAAAAGAAUGCAUAAUUAUCACUGGCUCCUUUUUCUUUUCAUGAAUUAAUUUGUAACUGUGGCUGAGUAUAUCUGCUCCUCUUUAUUGUAACAGAGGUACUUAAACAAACUUAAUAACAAACAUAUAUUUAACCGGUUAUUUGAGUUUAUGAGUUCAUCCUAGAGCAAAAUUGCAUCCAAUAGCAAGAAAAUAAAUGGCAGAAAACAAGUCUUUCUCUUUCAGAGGGCAGAGCUUAGGGCACACAGGGGAAGGCUUUAUAUACUGGAACAUCAAAGGUAGAGAUGAGGCAAUUAUAACAAUGCACAUUUUUGUGGCAUGACUAACCUGAGAGGUAAUAUAUGUUAGAAUGAGUAAGACAGAGCCUUAGUGUGAGAUUCAAGUCCUGAUUAUGUAGUGAAUGAAUGGUCCCUAGUUUAAUUGUAUUGUUGUUUCUUGUUUUCAGCUAUUCAACUGUGAGCCCAAAUCAGUUGAAACUACUGGCCUAAUUAGAUAUCAGACUAUUUGUUGUUGUGGAUGAUCCCUGAGUAAGAAAAAGAAGAAUUCUAGGGAGUUUACAGAGACGAAAGGGCCUGUGCGUCAUCAUCAAGAGGACCAACAUAUGUGUUAUGGGAAUUUUAGAUGACAAAGAGAGGGGCAGAACUAAUAUUUGAAAAAUUAUAGCCAGAAACUUCCAAAAUUUUAUUAAAUAUACUAACCUACAAAUCCAAGAAACUGAAUGAACUCCAAGUUGGAUAAACUCAAAAAGACCCACACUAAGACAUUCUAACCAACCCAUCAAAAGCCAAAGGUAGAGAAUCUUGAAAGCAGCAAACAAGAAAGAAGUAACUCAUCAUGUACAAGGAAUCCUCAUUAAAAUUAAAGGCCAGUUUCUUAUCAGAAAACGUGGAAGCCGGAAGACAGUGGAGUGACAUAUUUAAGUGGGUGGAAGAAAAUGAAACCUAUUAACUGAAAUUUUAUAUCUAGCAAAACUGUCCUUCAAAAUGAUGGAAAAGUUAGGAUAUAUUCUGAUAAACAAAAGCUGAGUCCAACAAGAAAUGCAAAGGAAGUCUUUCAAGUUGAAAUGAAAAGACACUAGCCAGUAAUUCAAAGCCAUGUGAGGAAAAUAAUGGCCUACAGUAAAAGUAGGGGAAAUAUAAAAACAAGUGCUAUUUAAUUUUUGUCUGUAACUCUACCAUUUAUUUUUAAUACGAUUUAACAUACACAUAUGUAAAAAUAAUAAAUCUCCUCUUGGGGACACAAUGUUAAAGAUGUAAAAAGACAUUAACAACAUAAAGGGGGAAGAUAAAGAUGUGCAGUAGUAUAGUUUUUAAAUGUUUUUGAAGUUAAGUUGGUAUCAAUUCAAAAUAUAUUACCUUAAAUUUAGGGCAUUAAAUGUAAUUGCUAUGGUAACCACAAAGAAAAUAUCUAAAAGAUCUAUAGGAAAUGAGAUAUAUAGGAAAAGAUAGAAAAGGAAAUAAGAAAAGAAUCAAAAUGGUUCACUACAAAAAAAUCAACUAAACAUAAAAGAAGGCAAUAAUGGAGAAAAUGAGAGAGGAAAAAAGUAUAAGACAUACAGAAAACAAGUAUCAAAAUGGCAGAAGUACUUCAUUAGGAGUACUAUUUUAAAUAUAAAUGGAUUAAACUAUUCACUCAGAGGCAGAGAUUGGCAGAAUGGAUAAAUGCUCUCUGUAAGAGAGUCACUUUAGAUUUAAAGACACAAAUAAGUAGAAAGUGAAAGAAUAGAAAAGAUAUUAUAUCCAAAUAGAACCAAAAGAGAGCUGAGGAGGCCAUACUAAUAUUAGGUAAAAAAACUUCAAGUCAAAACCUGUUAUAAUGACAAAGAAGGACAUUAUAUAUUGAUAUAUAGAUAAAUAUGUAUAUCAUCAAAAAGUUAUAAUCAUAAACAUAUAUGCACCAAACAACAGAGACCCAAAAUAUUUCAAGCAAAUAUUGACAGAAUUAAAGGGAAACAAAUAGUUGUACAAUAAUAGUUGGAGACUCCAAUAUCUUACUUUCAAAAAUGAAUAGAAUAUCUAGACAGAAGAUAAGUCACAAAAUAAAAGACUUGAAUAAGCCAACUAGACCAAACAUGAGUAUAUAGAACAUUUUACCCAAUAACAGCAGAAUACAUAUUUUUCUCAAGGGCACAUGGAAGAUGCUUUAGGAUAGAUUACAUGUUAAGCCACAAAACAAGUGAAUAAAUUUUAAAAAGUUGAAGUCAUAUACAGUAUCUUUUCUGACCAAGGAGAAUGAAGCUACAAAUCAAAAUCAAAGGAAAACUGCAAAAUCCACAAAUAUAUGGAAAUGAAACUACACACUACCAAACACUCAUUGGUCAAAGAAGAAACUACAAGAAAAAUUAGAAAAUAAUGAAAAUGAAAACAAACAUAUUAAAACAUAAGAUUUGUUUGUUUAU
Non-coding RNA from Macaca mulatta (Rhesus monkey), 6383 nucleotides. Lineage: Eukaryota; Metazoa; Chordata; Mammalia; Primates; Cercopithecidae. The record is from RefSeq and is a predicted model, not a curated record.